RNAcentral lists this ribosomal RNA (253 nucleotides) under uncultured bacterium. Its description in RNAcentral is "partial 16S ribosomal RNA". It matches the Rfam family "Bacterial small subunit ribosomal RNA", at positions 524 to 776 of the family's 1533-position model. The record is from RNAcentral.
UACGAAGGGGGCUAGCGUUGCUCGGAAUCACUGGGCGUAAAGGGUGCGUAGGCGGCGCGGUAAGUCGGGUGUGAAAUCUCGGGGCUUAACUCCGAAACUGCAUUCGAUACUGCCGUGCUUGAGGACUGGAGAGGAGACUGGAAUUUACGGUGUAGCGGUGAAAUGCGUAGAUAUCGUAAGGAAGACCAGUGGCGAAGGCGGGUCUCUGGACAGUCCCUGACGCUGAGGCACGAAGGCCAGGGGAGCAAACGGG